RNAcentral lists this long non-coding RNA (1156 nucleotides) under Pelobates cultripes (western spadefoot toad). The record is from RNAcentral. Lineage: Eukaryota; Metazoa; Chordata; Amphibia; Anura; Pelobatidae.
CCAUAUUUCCCAGUUUAGUGAGUAGUAAGAAGAUAGUGGAGUCGGCUUGACAAUGGGAAUAAAUAGGGAUAGAAGCAGUUGGCCAAGAGAAGAAAUGAAAUAUACUACUACAUUUCAUUUAUUAUAGAAUUUUAUUGAAUAAUCACAUUCCUGCUUAAUGUUUCCAUUAACAAAUAUGGCACAACUAUAAACAACUUACUGAUAAAAAAGACACAUUAAUUAAGAAAGUAAUGAAAAGUAAACUAUAAAACUAAAGGAUGAUAAGAUGAAUUAAGAGGUUCAAGUAGAGAUAUGCAGUUUUUUUGUGGUGGGGGUUUUAUGAGGCAUAUGGUGGAGUACUAGCUAGAGGCUGUAUGGCGCAAUAGGAGGAGUUAUAGAAAAAAUAAGUAUAGAGAAAUGGGAACGAACUACACAUAGAGAGAAAUUUUAUGGAGGAACAGGAUGAUGAAAUACAAGGAAAGGUGAUAUAGAGUAAUAUGAGAUAUAGGGAGAGGUUCUAUGGAGUAAUAGGAGGAGUUAUAGAGAGAGGUUAUAUGGAGUAAUAGGAGGAGUUAUAGGGAGAGGUUAUAUGGAGUAAUAGGAGGAGUUAUAGGGAGAGGUUAUAUGGAGUAAUAGGAGGAGAUAUAGGGAGAGGUUAUAUGGAGUAAUAGGAGGAGUUAUAGGGAGAGGUUAUAUGGAGUAAUAGGAGGAGUUAUAGGGAGAGGUUAUAUGGAGUAAUAGGAGGAGUUUAUAGGGAGAGGUUAUAUGGAGUAAUAGGAGGAGUUAUAGGGAGAGGUUAUAUGGAGUAAUAGGAGAUGUUAUAGAGAGAGGUUAUAUGGAGUAAUAGGAGGAGUUAUAGGGAGAGGUUAUAUGGAGUAAUAGGAGGAGUUAUAGAGAGGUUAUAUGGAGUAAUAGGAGGAGUUAUAGGGAGAGGUUAUAUGGAGUAAUAGGAGGAGUUAUAGAGAGGUUAUAUGGAGUAAUAGGAGGAGUUAUAGGGAGAGGUUAUAUGGAGUAAUAGGAGGAGUUAUAGAGAGAGGUUAUAUGGAGUAAUAGGAGGAGUUAUAGAGAGAGGUUAUAUGGAGUAAUAGGAGGAGUUAUAGGGAGAGGUUAUAUGGAGUAAUAGGAGGAGUUAUAGAGAGAGGUUAUAUGGAGUAAUAGGAGGAGUUAUAGAGAGAGG